CUCCUGGUCAUUUAGAGGAAGUAAAAGUCGUAUCAAGGUUUCCGUAGGUGACCUGCGGAAGGAUCAUUACUGAAUUGUCAACACGAGUUGUUGCUGGUCCCUCAAACGGGGGCAUGUGCACGCUCUGUUCACACAUCCACUCACACCUGUGCACCCUCUGUAGUUCUAUGGCUCUCGGGGGACUCUGUCCUCCUGUCGUGGUUCUACAUCUUUACACAAACACUGUAAUAAAGUCUCAUGGAAUGUAUGCCGCGUUUAACGCAAUACAAUACAACUUUCAGCAACGGAUCUCUUGGCUCUCGCAUCGAUGAAGAACGCAGCGAAAUGCGAUAAGUAAUGUGAAUUGCAGAAUUCAGUGAAUCAUCGAAUCUUUGAACGCACCUUGCGCCCUUUGGCUAUUCCGAAGGGCAUGCCUGUUUGAGUAUCAUGAACACCUCAACUCUCAUGGUUUGCCAUGAUGAGCUUGGACUUUGGGGGUCUUGCUGGCCAGUGGUCGGCUCCUCUCAAACGAAUCAGCUUGCCAGUGUUUGGUGGCAUCACGGGUGUGAUAACUAUCUACGCUUGUGGUUUUCUGCCAGAUAACCUUCAGUGACAUGGAGGUUUGCUGGAGCUCAUAAAUGUCUCUCCCCAGCGAAGACAGCUUUGUGAACGUUUGAUCUCAAAUCAGGUAGGACUACCCGCUGAACUUAAGCAUAUCAAUAA
RNAcentral lists this ribosomal RNA (702 nucleotides) under uncultured Tomentella. RNAcentral describes it as "eukaryotic LSU rRNA". The stretch from base 273 to 427 matches the Rfam family "5.8S ribosomal RNA". Lineage: Eukaryota; Fungi; Basidiomycota; Agaricomycetes; Thelephorales; Thelephoraceae. The record is from RNAcentral.